Brassica napus (rape) is the source of this 1471-nucleotide long non-coding RNA. RefSeq lists it as uncharacterized. The record is from RefSeq and is a predicted model, not a curated record. Lineage: Eukaryota; Viridiplantae; Streptophyta; Magnoliopsida; Brassicales; Brassicaceae. The transcript has 3 exons.
AAAAAUCCCUAACGUGUCCGUUUUUUAUUGGCUUUUCUUGUAUGCCUUUCUCUAUCCUCUUUCUCUCUUUGGCGUCUCUUUCUGGUUUCUUCGAAUUUGGGAAUCAAUCAAAGAAAAGAGACAUUUGCACUUGCCUCUGGGGUUAACUCUUUCGAUCAAGGCACCAAGGUUCGUCUACUUCAUUCUCUCUCUUUCUUUGUAAUCAAAAAUCAAAAUUUGUCAGCUUUAUUUUCUGAGAAAGUUAACUAAUUGUAUUGAAUCUGCAAAAGAUAUGGAUAGAUAAAAGAACCGGUGGUGUUCAAAAGAAUACUUCUUUUCUCCCUAAUCUGUGUGUUGGUUUGAUUAACGUACAUAAGCUCUUCAAAACUAUACUCUUUUCCUCCCGAAUUGGUUUGUUGAUCAUGUGGUUUAUAUAGACAAACUUUUCUUAGUUUCUCUUUGAAAUACAUUAUCACCUUGUUUCUCUUUUGGUUGAACUUCUUUGUACAAUUAAAUUCCGUCGUGUUCUGAUCAUAUUUGUGAUAUAUAUGGGAAUGGAUUCAUUAUGAUAACAUGUUAUGCUCUAACAUUCAUGUUUUUCAGUCAAAGUUAACAUUUUUUUCUUUGGGUCAAUCGAUUCAUUUUGAGUGGUAGAUGAGUAUUGAAGUACAUAGUCUUGUGGUUCUUCUGAUCUGUGUGUUUCUGCAAUAAUAAUUGGAGAUUUCUUGUCGGUGACUCUCUUAAUGUCUCUCCUGUACGCUGGAUUUGAGACUUCUUAUGUGGAAGAAGAACCAUUACUACCUUUUGAUACUCUCUUAGAAGAAUACUUUGUAGAAUCACACUUGAGAAAGUCUUUAAACUCAAACGGGAGUUCUUCGAAUUCUUUAGAGGUUCCUAGGUUAGCUUAUCUGAUCUCAGGUACUAAAGGAGAUAGCCACAGGAUGAUGAGGACUUUGGAAGCUGUGUACCAUCCAAGAAACCAAUAUGUUCUCCAUUUAGACCUCGAAGCUCCACCUAAGGAGAGGCUGAAGCUUGCAAUGUCUGUGAAGAGUGAUCCUACUCUCCGUGAAGUUGCAAACGUCCGUCAGUGUUAUGUCACAGUCUAAUCUCGUUACCUAUAAAGGCCCUACAAUGAUCGCUUGUACGCUUCAAGCUGUGGCGGUUUUUCUCAAGGAGAGCUUGGAUUGGGAUUGGUUCAUCAACCUUAGUGCAUCAGAUUAUCCUCUCGUGACACAAGAUGAUUUGUUGUGUGUCUUCUCCAAUUUGUCUAGGAAUCUUAACUUCAUUGAACAUACGAAGUUCACCGGAAUAUUAAAUUCAUGAUAUAAAUUUGUAUUUCUAUUUUUCAUAUGUUUUUAUGUCAUAUUUUAUGUUAUGAAAUCCAAUAAUUUAUAAAUUUUGUAAUAUUUAAAUUUAAUAAUUCAAUUUUUUUUAAAAAAAUUAAGAACCUUAUAGAUGUUCUUCCAUUGGACUUUCAUACAACUAAAGUUCU